GUUUGAGGGAAAACGUGGAAGAUAUCAUGGAUAUUUAUCCAUAUGUCUGUUGUUUCCUCAUAAAUAAUUAAAGGUGUAACAGAAUCUGGUACAGCAUCGAUAAGUUUCUGUCUUUCCAUUGCAUCAUCUUCUACUGGGAUGAAUAAUGCAGGGGGAAUCAAGACUAUCUGCAGUCGAGUCUGGGAACGAUCCAGUAAGAUGGACCAGACGUAUUUUCCUUCU
Molecule: long non-coding RNA, 222 nt
Filed under: Gallus gallus (chicken)
Lineage: Eukaryota; Metazoa; Chordata; Aves; Galliformes; Phasianidae
Source: RNAcentral